This 303-nucleotide long non-coding RNA is filed under the name Elaeis guineensis (African oil palm). RNAcentral's name for it is "long non-coding RNA (EGUI_LNC039397)". Lineage: Eukaryota; Viridiplantae; Streptophyta; Magnoliopsida; Arecales; Arecaceae. The record is from RNAcentral.
GGCUAGAUACAGUAGUUUAGUUACAUCAAGAGAGAAGCAACCACUCUAUUUAUAGCAGGGUGAAGAUGAGGUUGGGCUCAAGAUCUGUCAGGUGAGGGUCCAAUAAUGGCUUUAAUUGCACUCAAUGAUAGAUCUAACUUAACUAAGAAAUGAGAUCAAGAUCUAUAGGAUGAGGUCUCAGGACUUAGAGACCAAGUCUGCUGCAAUUUGCUUGAGAAGCAUGGGGCAAGAGUUAUCCACUUAUUAAUUGACACAUUCAUCAAGAUUUGUCAGGUGAGGUGGUGUGCCAAUCGGUGGGACCUA